This 448-nucleotide ribosomal RNA is filed under the name uncultured bacterium. Its description in RNAcentral is "bacterial SSU rRNA". It matches the Rfam family "Bacterial small subunit ribosomal RNA", at positions 88 to 543 of the family's 1533-position model. The record is from RNAcentral.
GGGGGAACCGGCGUAAGGGGCAGUAAGGCGUGGACAACCUACCCUGGGGUCUGGCAUAGCCCGUUGAGAGACGGGGUAAUUCCAGGCGAUGUCUUGAUGGGGCAUCCUGUUGAGACCAAAGCUCCGGCGUCCUGGGCGGGGUCCACGUGGUAUUAGCUAGUUGGUGGGGUAACGGCCCACCAAGGCGGAGAUGCCUAGCGGGUGUGAGAGCACGACCCGCGCCACUGGCACUGAGACACUGGCCAGACACCUACGGGUGGCUGCAGUCGAGGAUCUUCGGCAAUGGGGGCAACCCUGACCGAGCGACGCCGCGUGUGCGACGAAGGCCUUCGGGUUGUAAAGCACUGUCGAGGGGGAGGAAAGCCCGAAAGGGUGUGACCUACCCCUGGAGGAAGCACGGGCUAAGUUCGUGCCAGCAGCCGCGGUAAGACGAACCGUGCGAACGUUG